GCGUGGAUGAUGUGGUUUAAUUCGAUGCAACGCGAAAACCUUACCACCUUUGACAUGUACGGAAGCCUUUAGAGAUAGAGGCGUGCUCGAAAGAGAGCCGUAACACAGGUGCUGCAUGGCUGUCGUCAGCUCGUGUCGUGAGAUGUUGGUUAAGUCCCGCAACGAGCGCAACCCUUGUCAUUAGUUGCUACAUUCAGUUGGGCACUCUAAUGAGACUGCCGGUGACAAGCCGGAGGAAGUGGGGAUGACGUCAAGUCCUCAUGGCCCUUAUAGGUGGGGCUACACACGUCAUACAAUGGCUGGUACAAAGGGUUGCCAACCCGCGAGGGGGAGCUAAUCCCAUAAAGCCAGUCGUAGUCCGGAUCGUAGUCUGCAACUCGACUACGUGAAGUCGGAAUCGCUAGUAAUCGUGGAUCAGAAUGUCACGGUGAAUACGUUCCCGGGUCUU
Molecule: ribosomal RNA, 448 nt
Filed under: uncultured Rhodoferax sp.
Lineage: Bacteria; Pseudomonadati; Pseudomonadota; Betaproteobacteria; Burkholderiales; Comamonadaceae
Description: bacterial SSU rRNA
Rfam family: Bacterial small subunit ribosomal RNA
Source: RNAcentral